Molecule: transfer RNA, 76 nt
Filed under: Parvularcula dongshanensis
Lineage: Bacteria; Pseudomonadati; Pseudomonadota; Alphaproteobacteria; Parvularculales; Parvularculaceae
Description: tRNA-Phe
Rfam family: tRNA
About the family: Transfer RNA (tRNA) molecules are approximately 80 nucleotides in length. Their secondary structure includes four short double-helical elements and three loops (D, anti-codon, and T loops).
Source: RNAcentral
GCCCAGGUAGCUCAGUUGGUAGAGCAGCGGAUUGAAGCUCCGCGUGUCGGUGGUUCGAUUCCAUCCCUGGGCACCA